GGAGAUGUAGCUCAGUGGUAGAGCACUUAGUAUGCACAAAGCCCCAGGGUUCAAUCCCCAGUACCACCA
Molecule: transfer RNA, 69 nt
Filed under: Heterocephalus glaber (naked mole-rat)
Lineage: Eukaryota; Metazoa; Chordata; Mammalia; Rodentia; Bathyergidae
Rfam family: tRNA
About the family: Transfer RNA (tRNA) molecules are approximately 80 nucleotides in length. Their secondary structure includes four short double-helical elements and three loops (D, anti-codon, and T loops).
Source: Rfam by way of RNAcentral